GUUAUUUCCACACAUGCCAUCUCACCCACCCUAUCCUAUCACCUAACUACACUACCUUCAUUCCAUGUCUCCAUCAGAGACAGUGAUCGACAGUUGUUCUGACAGUCACUCCGACGACUGUUCUGACGAUCACUCCGACACCCGCACCGGUGAUCCCUCCGACAAACUGCUCCAAUGAUCACUCUAACGCUUGUGACUAACUUUGUCUUCGAUAUGAUUAACUGUGAUCAAAUUUGUAUUCGGUGUAACUGUCUGUAACCAGGUCAAUCUCAAGUUACAACCAAUCACAAUCAACACAAAAUUGAUCACAAACAUUCACAACAAACACAUACUUAAUUGCAUAGGGUCACCACAAACAAAUAUGCACACACUACAGACCUAUGAUUAACCUCGACCAACUUUAUCUUUGGUGUGAUUAAGUGUGACCAAGAUUGUAUUCAGUGUGACUGUCUAUGACCAGGUCAAUCUCAAGUUACAACCAGUCACAGAACCAUCACAGCCUACACUAUCACCAACAAUAGAAUCACCACAGAUAAGAAAAUCAUCGACACUGCAAAAUACCAACAAUCAUCCCAAAACUUUGGUUAAAUAAAAGAUCAGAUAAAAAACCACCAAUCACUUAAAAUUUGAUAAAACUAUGCUGGUUCCAUCUCCUUCAUCACCAAAUCCAACACCAAAAUCAUUUUUCUCUCCACCACCACUCAUGAGCUCAUCUCCGUUAAUUACUUACAGCCACCACCACCUAUAAGCUUACCACCGCUUUCAAUAUUCUCGCCACCACCUGUGAAGUUACCUCUACCACCACCAAAGUGAUCUCUAUUACCUCUAGUAAUCUCCCCAUCACCACCCCUCCAUCCAUUGUACCCACCACCUAAAUUUACAUUUGAAACCUUCUGGUUGGACAAGAUAUCGAUCUGUUUGGGGAUAUAGCAGAAAUUUCUAUUAGCUCUGAUAGUGGAGCAAGCAGCGUUGUCGCGAGCAUCAGCUUGCUACUAUUGUGACGUCCGGUGAAGCAAAUCGCCACUGGUUGUAGCAGCAACAUUUUACUGCGACCUAGUUUAAAACUCAUCGUCGUCACGCGCAGUGUUUGUGCAACACCAUCAUCGAAGGCAUUGCUUGCAUCGUGGUGAUGGCGACUAUAACUUGGUUUUAAUCACAGGCAGGUGGUGGUGGGUAUUCUGUAGUGGCACAUAGAGAAUAGGGAGAAAACAAGUUGGGGAUGAAUUGGG
Molecule: long non-coding RNA, 1229 nt
Filed under: Olea europaea subsp. europaea
Lineage: Eukaryota; Viridiplantae; Streptophyta; Magnoliopsida; Lamiales; Oleaceae
Source: RNAcentral